UACGUAGGGGGCGAGCGUUGUCCGGAUUUAUUGGGCGUAAAGAGCUCGUAGGCGGUUCAGUAAGUCGGGUGUGAAAUCUCCGUGCUCAACACGGAGCGGCCACCUGAUACUGCUCGACUCGAAGGCAGGAGAGGGAAGCGGAAUUCCCGGUGUAGUGGUGAAAUGCGUAGAUAUCGGGAGGAACACCAGUGGCGAAGGCGGCUUUCUGGCCUGUUCUUGACGCUGAGGCGCGAAAGCUAGGGUAGCAAACGGG
This 253-nucleotide ribosomal RNA is filed under the name uncultured bacterium. RNAcentral's name for it is "partial 16S ribosomal RNA". It matches the Rfam family "Bacterial small subunit ribosomal RNA", at positions 524 to 776 of the family's 1533-position model. The record is from RNAcentral.